CCUACGGGUGGCAGCAGUGAGGAAUAUUGGUCAAUGGGAGAGAUCCUGAACCAGCCAAGCCGCGUGAGGGAAGACGGCCCUAUGGGUUUUAAACCUCUUUUGUCGGAGAACAAAACCCGGUACGUGUCCCGGACUGCGUGUAUCCGAAGAAAAAGCAUCGGCUAACUCCGUGCCAGCAGCCGCGGUAAUACGGAGGAUGCGAGCGUUAUCCGGAUUUAUUGGGUUGAAGGGGUGCGUAGGCGGUCCGUUAAGUCAGCGGUAAAAUCGCGGGGCUCAACCCCGUAGAGCCGUUGAAACUGGCAGACUUGAGUGGGCGAGAGGUACACGGAAUGCGCGGUGUAGCGGUGAAAUGCAUAGAUAUCGCGCAGAACUCCGAUUGCGAAAGCAGCGUACCGGCGCCAGACUGACGCUGAGGCACGAAAGCGUGGGGAGCGAACAGGAUUAGAUACCCUUGUAGUC
RNAcentral lists this ribosomal RNA (459 nucleotides) under uncultured bacterium. RNAcentral describes it as "partial 16S ribosomal RNA". It matches the Rfam family "Bacterial small subunit ribosomal RNA", at positions 338 to 795 of the family's 1533-position model. The record is from RNAcentral.